GACGUAGGGCGCGAGCGUUGUCCGGAUUUAUUGGGCGUAAAGAGCUCGUAGGCGGCUUGUCGCGUCGAAUGUGAAAUCUCAGGGCUCAACUCUGACAUUGCAUUCGAUACGGGCAGGCUCGAGUUCGGUAGGGGAGACUGGAAUUCCUGGUGUAGCGGUGAAAUGCGCAGAUAUCAGGAGGAGCACCGGUGGCGAAGGCGGGUCUCUGGGCCGAUACUGACGCUGAGGAGCGAAAGCGUGGGGAGCGAACAGG
This 253-nucleotide ribosomal RNA is filed under the name uncultured bacterium. RNAcentral's name for it is "partial 16S ribosomal RNA". It matches the Rfam family "Bacterial small subunit ribosomal RNA", at positions 524 to 776 of the family's 1533-position model. The record is from RNAcentral.